Molecule: long non-coding RNA, 424 nt
Filed under: Zostera marina
Lineage: Eukaryota; Viridiplantae; Streptophyta; Magnoliopsida; Alismatales; Zosteraceae
Description: long non-coding RNA (ZMAR_LNC004337)
Source: RNAcentral
UGACCGUCGAUGACUGUAUCAUCGGUGGCGGUAUGUGGUAAAAGAAACUGCCCCGGUGGAUGUCUUCUCAAACCCUCCAUGACCACGGCUUUGAGGUAAACCAUCUUCUGUAAAUCUUCAUGUUCUAUUGCUGCUUCCUCAUUGGGAACAACUUCACGGAUUUCCUUCAACAGCUUCUUUUGAAUUCCUCUCUUCUUCACCAGAUUUGCCAUCACCCAUUGCAAUGCGGUUGAGGUAGUGUCUGUCCCUCCGUUGAGAAACUCCGAGCAGAGACCGAUGAUCUCAACCUCUGUUAACUUUCUUUUUUUAUCCUCCUCGUCUGUAGCUGUAGGUAAUUCCAGAUCUAGAAGUGAAUCCAAGUAGCAGUACUCAUAAUCCUUCCUCGACGGGAUUUUCUUCCGUCUUGCAUCGAUGAGCCGACUGA